This 179-nucleotide non-coding RNA is filed under the name Pseudomonas putida. Its description in RNAcentral is "Nitrogen regulated small RNA". It matches the Rfam family "Nitrogen regulated small RNA". From Rfam's summary of the family: Its transcription is induced during nitrogen limitation by the NtrB/C two-component system (an important regulator of nitrogen assimilation and swarming motility) together with the alternative sigma factor RpoN (a global regulator involved in nitrogen metabolism). By activating rhlA (a gene essential for rhamnolipids synthesis) it positively regulates the production of rhamnolipid surfactants needed for swarming motility. The record is from RNAcentral. RNAcentral also lists the same sequence under 1 other name. Lineage: Bacteria; Pseudomonadati; Pseudomonadota; Gammaproteobacteria; Pseudomonadales; Pseudomonadaceae.
AUCUUCAGUUUCGGGGGCCCUGGUACAGGCAGGCCGGGUGAACCCCUCUUUUAUUUGCAGCACCGCCGCUUUUGGGGACCUCGGUACAGGCAGGCCGGGUAUCCCCCCUUUAUACGCAGUACCCCUUUUGGGGACCCUGGUACAGGCAGGCCGGGAUAUCCCCUCUUUUAUUCGUGCAG